UACGAAGGGGGCUAGCGUUGUUCGGAUUUACUGGGCGUAAAGCGCACGUAGGCGGAUCGUUAAGUCGGGGGUGAAAUCCUGGAGCUCAACUCCAGAACUGCCUUCGAUACUGGCGAUCUCGAGUCCGGAAGAGGUGAGUGGAACUCCUAGUGUAGAGGUGGAAUUCGUAGAUAUUAGGAAGAACACCAGUGGCGAAGGCGGCUCACUGGUCCGGUACUGACGCUGAGGAGCGAAAGCCAGGGGAGCAAACGGG
RNAcentral lists this ribosomal RNA (253 nucleotides) under uncultured bacterium. RNAcentral describes it as "partial 16S ribosomal RNA". It matches the Rfam family "Bacterial small subunit ribosomal RNA", at positions 524 to 776 of the family's 1533-position model. The record is from RNAcentral.